This 17-nucleotide transfer RNA is filed under the name Salvelinus leucomaenis (whitespotted char). RNAcentral describes it as "partial tRNA-Glu". Lineage: Eukaryota; Metazoa; Chordata; Actinopteri; Salmoniformes; Salmonidae. The record is from RNAcentral.
UAGGUUCUUGUAGUUGA